GAUGAAGACGUAGUGAAAUGCGAUAAGUAGUGUGAAUUGCAGAAUUCAGUGAAUCAUCGAAUCUUUGAACGCACAUUGCGCCCCUUGGUAUCCCGAGGGGCAUGCCUGUUCGAGCGUCAUUUCACCACUCAAGCCUGGCUUGGUGUUGGGCGACGUCCUCUUUGGGGACGCGCCUCGAAACGCUCGGCGGCGUGGCACCGGCUUUAAGCGUAGCAGAAUCUUUCGCUUUGGAAGUCGGGGCCCCGUCUGCCGGAAGACCUGCUCGCAAGGUUGACCUCGGAUCAGGCAGGGAUACCCGCUGAACUUAAGCAUAUCAAUAAGCGGAGGA
Molecule: unclassified non-coding RNA, 328 nt
Filed under: soil metagenome
Description: partial contains 5.8S ribosomal RNA, internal transcribed spacer 2, and large subunit ribosomal RNA
Rfam family: 5.8S ribosomal RNA (bases 1-119)
Source: RNAcentral